UACGUAGGUCCCGAGCGUUGUCAGGAUUUAUUGGGCGUAAAGCGAGCGCAGGUGGUUUAAUAAGUCUGAUGUAAAAGGCAGUGGCUCAACCAUUGUGUGCAUUGGAAACUGUUAGACUUGAGUGCAGUAGAGGAGAGUGGAAUUCCAUGUGUAGCGGUGAAAUGCGUAGAUAUAUGGACGAACACCGGUGGCGAAAGCGGCUCUCUGGACUGUAACUGACACUGAGGCUCGAAAGCGUGGGGAGCAAACAGG
Molecule: ribosomal RNA, 252 nt
Filed under: uncultured microorganism
Description: partial 16S ribosomal RNA
Rfam family: Bacterial small subunit ribosomal RNA
Source: RNAcentral